UACGUAGGUGACCAGCGUUGUCCGGAUUUACUGGGCGUAAAGAGCGCGCAGGCGGUCGUUCAAGUCGAGUGUGAAAGCCCCCGGCUCAACUGGGGAGGGUCAUUCGAUACUGAUCGACUUGAAGGCAGGAGAGGGAAGUGGAAUUCCCGGUGUAGUGGUGAAAUGCGUAGAUAUCGGGAGGAACACCGGUGGCGAAGGCGGCGACCUGGGACAAUACUGACGCUGAGGUGCGAAAGCGUGGGGAGCAAACAGG
This 253-nucleotide ribosomal RNA is filed under the name uncultured bacterium. RNAcentral describes it as "partial 16S ribosomal RNA". It matches the Rfam family "Bacterial small subunit ribosomal RNA", at positions 524 to 776 of the family's 1533-position model. The record is from RNAcentral.